GGCGCUAUAGCCAAGUGGUUACGGCGACAGAUUAGAACUGGUAAAUAUUGGUUUCUCCCAUCUGUUCCUCUUUGAGGGCGCAGGUUCAAAUCCUGCUGGCGUCG
This is a non-coding RNA of Mycena floridula, 104 nucleotides long. NCBI's taxonomy places the organism in Eukaryota, Fungi, Basidiomycota, Agaricomycetes, Agaricales, Mycenaceae. The record is from the annotation of a GenBank genome assembly.